RNAcentral lists this ribosomal RNA (257 nucleotides) under uncultured bacterium. RNAcentral describes it as "partial 16S ribosomal RNA". It matches the Rfam family "Bacterial small subunit ribosomal RNA", at positions 99 to 353 of the family's 1533-position model. The record is from RNAcentral.
CGGACGGGUGAGUAACACGUGAGCAACCUGGCUCUAAGAGGGGGACAACAGUUGGAAACGACUGCUAAUACCGCAUAACGUAUCGGGAUGGCAUCUUCCUGAUACCAAAGAUUUUAUCGCUUAGAGAUGGGCUCGCGUCUGAUUAGAUAGUUGGUGGGGUAACGGCCCACCAAGGCGACGAUCCAUAGCCGGCCUGAGAGGGUGAACGGCCACAUUGGGACUGAGACACGGCCCAGACUCCUACGGGAGGCAGCAUG